AGAGUUUGAUCCUGGCUCAGAUUGAACGCUGGCGGCAGGCCUAACACAUGCAAGUCGAACGGUAACAUUUCUAGCUUGCUAGAAGAUGACGAGUGGCGGACGGGUGAGUAAUGCUUGGGAACUUGCCUUUGCGAGGGGGAUAACAGUUGGAAACGACUGCUAAUACCGCAUAAUGUCUUCGGACCAAACGGGGCUUAGGCUCCGGCGCAAAGAGAGGCCCAAGUGAGAUUAGCUAGUUGGUAAGGUAACGGCUUACCAAGGCGACGAUCUCUAGCUGUUCUGAGAGGAAGAUCAGCCACACUGGGACUGAGACACGGCCCAGACUCCUACGGGAGGCAGCAGUGGGGAAUAUUGCAUAAUGGGGGAAACCCUGAUGCAGCCAUGCCGCGUGUGUGAAGAAGGCCUUCGGGUUGUAAAGCACUUUCAGUUGUGAGGAAAAGUUGGUAGUUAAUACCUGCUAGCCGUGACGUUAACAACAGAAGAAGCACCGGCUAACUCCGUGCCAGCAGCCGCGGUAAUACGGAGGGUGCGAGCGUUAAUCGGAAUUACUGGGCGUAAAGCGCACGCAGGCGGUUUGUUAAGCUAGAUGUGAAAGCCCCGGGCUCAACCUGGGAUGGUCAUUUAGAACUGGCAGACUAGAGUCUUGGAGAGGGGAGUGGAAUUCCAGGUGUAGCGGUGAAAUGCGUAGAUAUCUGGAGGAACAUCAGUGGCGAAGGCGACUCCCUGGCCAAAGACUGACGCUCAUGUGCGAAAGUGUGGGUAGCGAACAGGAUUAGAUACCCUGGUAGUCCACACCGUAAACGCUGUCUACUAGCUGUGUGUGCCUUUAAAGGCGUGCGUAGCGAAGCUAACGCGCU
Molecule: ribosomal RNA, 857 nt
Filed under: uncultured Alteromonas sp.
Lineage: Bacteria; Pseudomonadati; Pseudomonadota; Gammaproteobacteria; Alteromonadales; Alteromonadaceae
Description: bacterial SSU rRNA
Rfam family: Bacterial small subunit ribosomal RNA
Source: RNAcentral